RNAcentral lists this long non-coding RNA (607 nucleotides) under Pan troglodytes (chimpanzee). RNAcentral describes it as "long non-coding RNA NONPTRT017188". The record is from RNAcentral. Lineage: Eukaryota; Metazoa; Chordata; Mammalia; Primates; Hominidae.
UGACUGUUUAAUACUUACCAGCAUCCUCAGAUGCUCUACAAUAUAAGAAAUUAGCAUAGUGGUAAAAUGGAUGAAAACAGAUUUGUGGCAGUUACCAGCACAAAUGCAGCCAAAAUUUUUAAUCUCUAUCCAAGAAAAGGAAGAAUAGCUGUAGGAUCAGAUGCUGACAUUGUUAUUUGGGACCCAAAAGGCACAAGUUACAGAAUGUGGGAAAAAGGAGAGAAGGGGGCUGUUGAAGAGGAGGCUUCAUAGAAUAAUGAAUCUGGAAGAAUUCAAGGAGAAAGCGUGUUUGUUGUGGUUCACGUUAAAAGAGAGAGAUCGUUGCAGCAACUGUAUGCUGAGCCCUUAUCUGGGUCGAUCACAGCACCAGCUUUCUCUAUUCUUGGCCUGGUUGUUAUGAGAAAGUUGCUCAUCUGGGCUGGCUGUUCCCGACCAAAAUUUAUGCUGAUGACCUCAACUAGGACCUUUCUGAAGUGCAAUAAUAUUUUUAGCCUUUUCUAACUGUCCAUGAAUCAUCCAUAGCUUUCCACUGUCCUUAGACACUACCCCUACCAUUGUCACUGUCUGCCUCUUCUCACCUUGCAGCCCGAGUUCUACUGAAUCCAGC